GCCUUGAGGCGUGGCUUCCGGAGCUAACGCGUUAAGUCGACCGCCUGGGGAGUACGGCCGCAAGGUUAAAACUCAAAUGAAUUGACGGGGGCCCGCACAAGCGGUGGAGCAUGUGGUUUAAUUCGAUGCAACGCGAAGAACCUUACCUACUCUUGACAUCCAGAGAACUUUCCAGAGAUGGAUUGGUGCCUUCGGGAACUCUGAGACAGGUGCUGCAUGGCUGUCGUCAGCUCGUGUUGUGAAAUGUUGGGUUAAGUCCCGCAACGAGCGCAACCCUUAUCCUUUGUUGCCAGCGGUCCGGCCGGGAACUCAAAGGAGACUGCCAGUGAUAAACUGGAGGAAGGUGGGGAUGACGUCAAGUCAUCAUGGCCCUUACGAGUAGGGCUACACACGUGCUACAAUGGCGCAUACAAAGAGAAGCGAACUCGCGAGAGCAAGCGGACCUCAUAAAGUGCGUCGUAGUCCGGAUUGGAGUCUGCAACUCGACUCCAUGAAGUCGGAAUCGCUAGUAAUCGUAGAUCAGAAUGCUACGGUGAAUACGUUCCCGGGCCUUGCACUCACCGCCCGUCAAAA
RNAcentral lists this ribosomal RNA (573 nucleotides) under Enterobacterales bacterium. Its description in RNAcentral is "bacterial SSU rRNA". It matches the Rfam family "Bacterial small subunit ribosomal RNA", at positions 828 to 1402 of the family's 1533-position model. Lineage: Bacteria; Pseudomonadati; Pseudomonadota; Gammaproteobacteria; Enterobacterales. The record is from RNAcentral.